This is a long non-coding RNA of Macrobrachium nipponense, 428 nucleotides long. RefSeq lists it as uncharacterized. The transcript is spliced from 2 exons. The record is from RefSeq and is a predicted model, not a curated record. NCBI's taxonomy places the organism in Eukaryota, Metazoa, Arthropoda, Malacostraca, Decapoda, Palaemonidae.
GCUACAGGACCAGACCAGUCUUCUCCGGAUUUGAAAAAUUAUUACAGCCACGAAGCAAUGGCUGCCACAAAUUAAUUUGGGGACCGUGGCUCUGGUCGUAAUUUCUCACGGAUGAAUGUCAUCGACUUGAACACCUACUACUCAAGAGCUCUACUGAAGACUUCCAUCAUCACCACUACCUUCGUCACUGCUUUAUUAUGGACCUAAAUGACUGGCUAUUUGUUGAGAUCCUUCUGGUGUUUCGGAAAAUAAAGGGCAAUAGUGCGGACCGAAUGCAGGUUCUCUGACGGAUAGAGCGAGAACGUCCACGCUAAGUUUACAAAGGUUUUGCAAUUCGACCAGGAUCAUCCUAUUCGCCAGUCAUGUUCUUAUUGUCAAUUGUCUAGUUUUUUCAGUUUAUUUUGUAAAUUAAAAUAAUUUUUAUAACA